UAUUAAGCCUUAAGAGUGUUCUAUUCUACUAUGACAAAGGAGUGUUGACAAUCAUAAAGCUAGCUAUUAAGAGUGUUCUAUUUAACCUUUACAACUGUUCUAUUAUGGCAUAAAACUGUUAUAAAGCCUAAAACUGACAGCACACUUCCAUUAAGCUUUAAGAAUGUUUUAUUAAGUCAUAAGAGGUUAAGAUUGGAAUGCAUACAUGUUCGCAACUGCAAAUCUGAUAAAAGUAUUCUAUUAUGCUCUAAGAGUGUUCUAUUCUACUAUGACAAAAGCGGGUAAGAUUGAAGUCUUAAAACCAUGAUAUAGCAACAUAAUUGGAAGUUCAGAAGAUCUCCCAGAUUUCUCAAUUAAUCAGUAAUGUUGAUCUCCAAAGUAUAGAUUUUUGAACUCCCAUACAUCUCAAUUAAUCAGUCAAUUGAUCUCCGAAGUAUAGAAACAUGAAAAACUCAAAAAUGCACGUGUACGUGAAUUCAAUUCAAAGAGAAACAAUCCACAAUGCUCAUAUUCUUUCUUCUUCUUCUUUUUUUCUUUGCUAAGUUUUGUACAUCCCAAACUGUCAUUCCAAAUGUAUACCACAUAAAUUGGAAACUACCGAUAAAUAUAAAAAAUUUAAGAACGAUAUCUACAAAUCAAGGUUUCAGUAUUCUAUUAUGCUCUAAGAGUGUUCUAUUCUACCCAUACACCCCAUAUUGAGUUGUUCUAUUAUGCUUUACAUUUAUUCUAUUAUGCCAUAAAUCUGUUAUAAAGUCUACAACUGAUAGCAGUGUUAUGUGAAACUUUAAGAAUGUUCUGUUAAGUCAUAAGUGGGUAAGAUUACAAAUGCAUACAUGUUCGCAACUAUAAACCUGAUAAAAAUAUUCUAUUAAGUCCUAGAAGUGUUCUAUUAUGACAAAAGCGUGUUCACAACCAUAAAGCUAAUAAUAGUGUUCUAUUAAGCUGUAAGAGUGUUCUUUAUUGCCAUAAGAGUGUUAGAUUGUCAAGCAUUUAUAUUUGCAAACACAAAUCCUAUAAAAGUAUUCUACUAAGAGUGUUCUUAUAAGUUCUAAGACUAAACCCUUUAUGGCAUAAAAGUGACAGAUUGUAAUGCAUACAUAAUUCUAGCCAACAAUACAUAUAUGAAUACAAACAAAUUAAUUUUCAAUACAAGUAUACACUAAUAUCAUAAAUGCUUUAUUUUUACAAAUGCAACAAAUAAUGUAAUAUACCAGCUGAGUAAUCCCUAAAUAAAAUGAAUCAGCUAGUCGGUGAGCAAAUCCGCAGCACGCAAAGAAGAACCCUACCUGCAACCCUAAACCCUCAAAAUAUAAAUUCUAUAUUAAAUUUAAAAUUAGAAAUAAAAGAUUAUAGAAAUUCAAAAAUAUCCCCUGUUUGAGUAGAAUCCUCUGUUCGGUUGUGGCCGAAUUAGCUCCGGAAUCGUUCCCAAUUUCGGAUGCUCACGACUGAAGGAAUGCGUCACAGGUACUGGGAUGGACAGGGGAGCAGUUGAGAGGCGACCUCCUACCAAUGGAGAAAGGCGAGGCCGAGAGACACCUUCGAGACGGCUUCGGACACGAGAUGUGUGGAACGAGCGCUGCCGAACUUCUGCCCGAUGGAGUGGAGUACCCUGCGAGCGAGAGCGAGAGAAAGAGAAAGGGGAGAGAGCGAGAUGACGAGAGGCGAGGGAGCGAGAGAAAGCGAGGAAGCGAGAGAGAGCGAGAAACAGAAAUAGCGAGAGGAGCUGUGCGGGAGAGAGAAGUGUAGUAGGGUUUAAUUUAAGUUAGCUUUAGCAAGAAGUAAAAAAGGUGUGAGGUUAGAAGCUACUGUGCUAGUGGGUUAAUAUCAGCCAUUGGAUCUGAUAGUUGUAGGAUAUACACCUUUUUAUAGGAGUACAGGUAAACUUUUCCUAUGCUUUAAUAGCAUCUACGAAUUUCUUGUAAACACCCUUCUCUUUAUCAAAAUGACUCUGCAUGCCCAAAAAUAAAUAAAUAUUAAAUAAAUAAAAAUAAAAAUAAANUGCAUACAUAAUUCUAGCCAACAAUACAUAUAUGAAUACAAACAAAUUAAUUUUCAAUACAAGUAUACACUAAUAUCAUAAAUGCUUUAUUUUUACAAAUGCAACAAAUAAUGUAAUAUACCAGCUGAGUAAUCCCUAAAUAAAAUGAAUCAGCUAGUCGGUGAGCAAAUCCGCAGCACGCAAAGAAGAACCCUACCUGCAACCCUAAACCCUCAAAAUAUAAAUUCUAUAUUAAAUUUAAAAUUAGAAAUAAAAGAUUAUAGAAAUUCAAAAAUAUCCCCUGUUUGAGUAGAAUCCUCUGUUCGGUUGUGGCCGAAUUAGCUCCGGAAUCGUUCCCAAUUUCGGAUGCUCACGACUGAAGGAAUGCGUCACAGGUACUGGGAUGGACAGGGAAGCAAUUGAGAGGCGACCUCCUACCAAUGGAGAAAGGCGAGGCCGAGAGACACCUUCGAGACGACUUCGGACACCAGAUGUGUGGAACGAGCGCUGCCGAACUUCUGCCCGAUGGAGUGGAGUGCCCUGCGAGCGAGAGCGAGAGAAAGAGAAAGGGGAAAGCGCGAGAUGACGAGAGAGGUGACGAGAGAGGCGCGAGAUCAAGAGAGAGGCGAGGGAGCGAGCGGGACCGAGAGAGCGAGCGGGACCGAGAAGGAGGUGUAGGGGAGAGAGAGAGAAAGAGAUGUGUAGUAGGGUUUAGCUUUAGGAAGAAAAAAUAAAAAAGGGAGUGAAGUUAGCUGCUACUGUGCUAGUGAUCUAAUAAUAGCCGUUGGAUCAUACGGGUGUAGGAUAUACACUUUCUUAUAGGAGUACAGGUAGACUUUUCCAACUAAGAAAGGGAUAAAAAUGCACAAUGCCCCCUCAAAUAUAGAACGUUUUGAACUAAGCCCCUCCUUAUGACUUUAAUUUAAAAUCUAAAUUAGCAUUCAAAAUCUAAAAUUUAAAAUUUUAAUUUUAAUUAAAAUUAAAAUUUGAUUUUAAAUGUAAAUUUAGAGUUGAAACUCGAAUUCAAAUUUUAAAAUUUGAGUUUAUAAUUUGAAAUCGAAAUCUAAAUAUAAAUUUAAAAUUUGAAUUUAAAAUCUAAGUUUAAAUUUAAAAUUAAAUCCAAAUUUGAAAUUAAAUUCAAAAUAUAAAUUUGAAUGUCAAAUUUGGCAUUUUGACUUUAAAAUCUAAAUUUCAUUUCGAACUAAAAUCGAAAUUCAGUCCAAAUUUGAAUUUGAACUGAAAUUUCGUUUCCAAUGUAAAUUUGGAUUUGACAUUCGAAUUAAAAUUUAAAUUUUAAAAUAAAAAUUUAAAAUCAAACUUAAAAUUCGAGUCCAAAAUCUAAAUUUGAAUUUAAAACUAAAUUUAAUUUUGAAAUUUGAAAUUUAAAUUCAAAAUCAGUAUUUUAAUUUGAAAUUCGUAUUAAAAAACUCUAAAUUUGAUUCAAAAUUUAAUCAUAAACUAAAAUUUAGAUUCAAAAUUUGCAUCUUAAAUUAAAUUUAGGUUUAACUAUGAAAAAUCUCAUGCACUUUAGUUUGGAUAAAAUUUCGAUGGAAUGACUUUUUUGAGACACGGGCAAAGUAUAGCGUGCAGAUUGUUUACGUUUUUGGGAAGGGGUAAAGUUGAGUGGGAGCUUUUCAUAAUUAAGCAUUUUUUUUUUUGAAAAAAAAGUUAUUUACGUAUUGGCUUAAAUUAAAAAAUUUAUAAAUUCUCAAACAUAAUUUCUAAGCGAGAGAAAUUUAGAGUAAAGAGUAAAAUGUCUAAGACAUUCAUCUCCCUCUCCCUCUCCCUCUCCCUCUAACUCUCUUGGUCAAAUUGAGAUUUUAUUUUAAUUUAUAAUUCAGUGUAAUCAAAAGUGAUCCAAACAUAUAAAAUACAUGAAUUUUUCUCUUUAAUAAUAUUAUCUUGCACGAGCUUUUUUAUAUUGGGGAAAAAAACUGAAUUAAAUGCUAAAAUUUUCAAACAAGGUCUUUUAUGUCACGAACUAGUGAUUUUGUUCACAAAACCGAUGCGACGCCCGACUCUCUCUGCAAAGAUGGUCAAGCCUUACUCCUUGUUUGCUCGUCAGCACCUCUGCGUCUUAGACUAAGUGCAAAAAGAGAUAAAAGAGAGAGAGAUAGAGGUUCCCCAAAAAAUUAAAUACUCUAUUAUUUAGAAAAACUGAUUACAACAAAACUCUCUCUUGGCCUCAACAAACCCUCCUACUUAUAAGCUCUAAGGUGCAUUAAAUUUGCUCACUAGAUGCAAAAAAAAACUCCCUACAUAAAUGCAAGGUAAACCCAAAGGUUGCCCAUGGUCUUUGGAUUUUCGCUGGGCAGUUUUGAAGGCUUUAAUUCUAGCAGUUGUAUGACCCUUCGUCUCCCACAAAAGUUGUUGGUUUGUACCCCUUUCGCUACCUUGUUUAGCAAAGUUGGCCCAGAGACUUGGGCUAGAUUGAAAUUUUUCUAAGUCCUUGACAAUCUCCUCCACCUAAUGCGCAAAUGCCAUCAUCGUGCGCCAAGUCAAUCACGGUUCGUGCAGCUUUGCUUGCAGUCCGUCGUGCCUACAUGCCUGCGCAGCCUCGAGCCUUGUUACCGCAGUCCACUUUUGCUUUCGCACCAGCUCUGCCUUGCCCCUCUGAGCAUGAACACCAACUAGCUUGCUACACAAAGAAUUUUGUUGUUGAGCCCGAACCGUCGAGUGUGCUUGUCCUCCGCGACACGCACGCACAAACCGCCGAGCUACGGGACACUCUCGAGUCCCCUUUGGCUUCUUCUUGGCUUUGUGCUUGGUAGAGCAACACACCCCUCGAUUGGGUACCAAUUGCUCUAGCACCUCUUGAGACUUGACAGUUUCGCCCUUGUUUGAGUCCUCCUCCUCGAGGUCCUUAUCCCUCCCGUACUUCACCUUCUCGCAAAGUUGUAGGGUUGUAAGGGUUUGGUCCUUCGUCGACUCCCCCUAACACAUAGGAACGAUACAAGGUGUUGACUCAUCUAUGAAGCUCAACGCCCAUAAGUGUGGCAUCGGCACCACCUUUGACGAGGCUAAGAAGUCCAUCCCUAUUACUGCAAAGUAGUCGGGUGGCCCAACGGUAAGAUUGGUCGUGCCCUUCCACGGGUUGAUGGCUAUCUCCACGCCUUUUGCAACUCCUGCGAUAGGUCGCGCCUCAAAGAUGCCGGCCUUGAUGUAACUCGCAUCUUUCUCGAGCUUGAGGUCCAACCACUUUGUGAGACCCUAGAUAGUCAUGUAUAAAAGAUAUAAUAGGGCUAGAACUUUUAACCAUGCUAUAGCAUUUUGGGCGGUGACUAGGCUUAAGAGGUUAAGAGAGUUAAAUGUGCUAAGACUGGAGUAGUCCUAGGAUGGAUGACCCCCUGGAAAGUUGGGGCGUGACAGUUGGUAUCAGAGCCAAUUUGUCACGCCCCGAGCUCCACCAAUUUGGUCGAAUUCGAGCACAUAACAGACGCCGAACGAACAGUACCUCCCCUGUCCGCCCAAGGCUCCAACAAUAAGUAUAUUACAAGCAAAUCAUUAAAGAAAAUUGCGAGAUAUAUAAGGUUUGCACGAGGGCAAACAACAACCACAAGUGAAAGCAUCGAACUAUCUAAGCAUCCAAUAUACAAGUCAUUUGAUUUCAUUUGAAUCAAACACAAGUGGUCUAUUACAUUCAUUUACCCAUUCAUUUACAUCACGUUUUCCUUUAACCAAAAUACAUUGUUUACAUCAUUCCUACAAAACCCACAACAUAAUUUGCAUUUCUUGCUUUACAUCAUUUACAGUUCAACACGUACAGUUGAGAACACCAAAAUGUAGGGUAUGCCUAUAUCUCGAGGGCCGCUAGCUACUGCGCAACACCCUUGCCUUGAUUCUCCGCCGCCCCGCUCGCGCACGGAUCUGCAGGGUUAGUGGUAAUGAGAACUAAAACGAAGUUCCCAGUGGGUUCGGCCGCCGACCACGCCGAUUCGCCCACUAGGUCUAAUUCAGGCAUAUGUAUUUCAAUAAAGAAGGAUAACAAACCAACUAAUGCACUUCUAAUACAAUGCCUGCAAGAAAGUAAUCCACAGAGAGAUAUUCAUAUUCAAAUACAUGAUGAUUAUGCAUGCAUGUCCUUUUCACUUUCCUUUGGCCUUUACCCAAUCAACCCGGGGUGCUCCUGAUUUACUCCAAACUCACAGUCCACAUAUCCCGUCUAACGGGGGAGGCACAAGGCUCAACCGCCCGAGGGAUCUUCGCCGGGCACUCUCACCCGUGGUGUUUACACUCCGGAGCACACCACUUGUGGAGGCGCAACCUCCCACAAACUGGAACCAAUACGUGUGAGUAUGAUCCCAUCCUAAAUUUGAGGAGGUAUAUAGCCAAACCUGUCUCAUGCCUCAAUAUCUCAAUGCGAAUGAUAGGUUCUACCAUAUCAUAUAUACCACCAAUAUGGGCCCCAACGGUCUUGAUGCCAUAAUACACAUAAUAUCACUCAGGUUAAACCUUAUUUAACUAUUCUCAUAUCAAUGCCAAUCGAGUCACUAUAGUCAAUGUCACCGUUAUUUACUAUGGUCAUAGUCUUUCUCACAUUCACAUGCAUAUAGGGUUAUUCAUUUUCUUUGUUCACAGGGUUCUACAUCACUCACAAUAAUCUUAAGCAGAUAAUUGAUACAAUCAAUAUAUACCAUUCAUUACCCUACAUGCAAGAAUGCUAUAAUACCAACAUACUCAAAAGAAGUGACAUAGACAUAGAAAGAGACUCAGUAAUUUCAGAUAGCACCCCCCACCUUUGUGUGAUGCUAGGAUGUCGUGGUUCUGUUUCACAAUUUUUAGACACUUUCGCCGCAGGAUGCGGCAAUCUGUACCAUCUCGGCUUCUUUUUCCAAUAUCUUCGCGCACGCUCAUCGUAUCGUCGAACCGAGCGCACUGAUGCGUUUGUUGACCUACUACUUAGGUUAGAAUGAGAUCAAUCACAAGCUUCGACCUCAUUUUACAAAACCCCAAAUUUGAGUCCCUAUACAAUAUCAUCUUCUUCAUUUUAGGUCCUCAACAUAAAGAAAAUGGAGAAAAUCCACCAUAGAAAUCUCUAGAAGCUUCAACUAGAAGCAAAAACCCAAAACCUAACUUAAAAUCACAAGAACUCACUUUUGGAGUCCAAAGCUUUCCUUCAAAGCCUUGCUCUAGCUUGCUCUACACCUUGGAGAGCUUCUUCUCCAAGCUUGCUCCUCCAAAAGCCCUCCUAGGUCUAAGCCCUAGAGAGUGAGAGGGAGAGAGGAGAAGAGUUUUAGAGAGAGAGAGAGAGGGAAAGGCUUGUGUUGUGAGGGUGAGAAAUGAGCCCUAACACAAGCUCUCUCACAUACAUACACCUCUCUCAUGUCACUUUUGCACAUAAGCCCCUCACAUUUUCACUUUUGCAAACAACCCUCACUGGGCAAUUCCCGCAGUCGGGGACCGGUCUCUCAAGCAAGGGACCGGUUCCCGAGAGCUACCCCGCAGCCAUCGCAGAAGGGGACCGGUCUCCCCCCGACGCAACCGGUCUCUCGGGACCGGUCUCUCACACACAGACCGGUUCCCGAGAGCUCGAUUUUCAGGACUUAGCCGAUUUUUCUCUCUGCUCGGCUGAGAUCGGUCCCCGAGAGCCAAAAUUCUGGGACUUUACCAGAAUUGCAGUUUCACUCUCUCGGGUUUCUUUAUACUACACAUAAGGCUCAAAUACACUUUUAGCCUAUAGUAACUCAUUCCUUUCCGCGUUCCGCACAUUUCGACGGAACUCGGCACGACUCACGGGGAAUUGCCAUGUUACACAAUUACCAGCCGGAAGUGUGAGAUGAGCCUCGGCUGAGCUAGGGUUGGAAUGACAAGACUAGCGAGACGAGUCUUAUAUCGUCUGGUACUUAUAAAUCUGA
This 7833-nucleotide long non-coding RNA is filed under the name Ananas comosus (pineapple). RNAcentral describes it as "long non-coding RNA (ACOM_LNC039681)". Lineage: Eukaryota; Viridiplantae; Streptophyta; Magnoliopsida; Poales; Bromeliaceae. The record is from RNAcentral.